RNAcentral lists this ribosomal RNA (468 nucleotides) under uncultured bacterium. RNAcentral's name for it is "partial 16S ribosomal RNA". It matches the Rfam family "Bacterial small subunit ribosomal RNA", at positions 28 to 507 of the family's 1533-position model. The record is from RNAcentral.
GACGAACGCUGGCGGCGUGCUUAACACAUGCAAGUCGAACGGAAAGGCCCUGCUUUUGUGGGGUGCUCGAGUGGCGAACGGGUGAGUAACACGUGAGUAACCUGCCCUUGACUUUGGGAUAACUUCAGGAAACUGGGGCUAAUACCGGAUAGGAGCUCCUGCUGCAUGGUGGGGGUUGGAAAGUUUCGGCGGUUGGGGAUGGACUCGCGGCUUAUCAGCUUGUUGGUGGGGUAGUGGCUUACCAAGGCUUUGACGGGUAGCCGGCCUGAGAGGGUGACCGGCCACAUUGGGACUGAGAUACGGCCCAGACUCCUACGGGAGGCAGCAGUGGGGAAUAUGGCACAAUGGGCGGAAGCCUGAUGCAGAAACGCCGCGUGCGGGAUGACGGCCUUCGGGUUGUAAACCGCUUUCGCCUGUGACGAAGCGUGAGUGACGGUAAUGGGUAAAGAAGCACCGGCUAACUACGUG